Molecule: ribosomal RNA, 629 nt
Filed under: bacterium TN25A
Lineage: Bacteria
Description: bacterial SSU rRNA
Rfam family: Bacterial small subunit ribosomal RNA
Source: RNAcentral
AAGGAAUUGACGGGGGCCCGCACAAGCGGCGGAGCAUGCGGAUUAAUUCGAUGCAACGCGAAGAACCUUACCAAGGCUUGACAUGAACCGGUAAUACCUGGAAACAGGUGCCCCGCUUGCGGUCGGUUUACAGGUGGUGCAUGGUUGUCGUCAGCUCGUGUCGUGAGAUGUUGGGUUAAGUCCCGCAACGAGCGCAACCCUCGUUCUAUGUUGCCAGCGCGUUAUGGCGGGGACUCAUAGGAGACUGCCGGGGUCAACUCGGAGGAAGGUGGGGACGACGUCAAAUCAUCAUGCCCCUUAUGUCUUGGGCUUCACGCAUGCUACAAUGGCCGGUACAAAGGGUUGCGAUACUGUGAGGUGGAGCUAAUCCCAAAAAGCCGGUCUCAGUUCGGAUUGGGGUCUGCAACUCGACCCCAUGAAGUCGGAGUCGCUAGUAAUCGCAGAUCAGCAACGCUGCGGUGAAUACGUUCCCGGGCCUUGUACACACCGCCCGUCAAGUCACGAAAGUUGGUAACACCCGAAGCCGGUGGCCUAACCCUUGUGGGGGGAGCCGUCGAAGGUGGGACCGGCGAUUGGGACUAAGUCGUAACAAGGUAGCCGUACCGGAAGGUGCGGCUGGAUCACCUCCU